This 410-nucleotide ribosomal RNA is filed under the name Escherichia coli. Its description in RNAcentral is "partial 23S ribosomal RNA". It matches the Rfam family "Bacterial large subunit ribosomal RNA", at positions 2521 to 2925 of the family's 2925-position model. Lineage: Bacteria; Pseudomonadati; Pseudomonadota; Gammaproteobacteria; Enterobacterales; Enterobacteriaceae. The record is from RNAcentral.
GCACCUCGAUGUCGGCUCAUCACAUCCUGGGGCUGAAGUAGGUCCCAAGGGUAUGGCUGUUCGCCAUUUAAAGUGGUACGCGAGCUGGGUUUAGAACGUCGUGAGACAGUUCGGUCCCUAUCUGCCGUGGGCGCUGGAGAACUGAGGGGGGCUGCUCCUAGUACGAGAGGACCGGAGUGGACGCAUCACUGGUGUUCGGGUUGUCAUGCCAAUGGCACUGCCCGGUAGCUAAAUGCGGAAGAGAUAAGUGCUGAAAGCAUCUAAGCACGAAACUUGCCCCGAGAUGAGUUCUCCCUGACCCUUUAAGGGUCCUGAAGGAACGUUGAAGACGACGACGUUGAUAGGCCGGGUGUGUAAGCGCAGCGAUGCGUUGAGCUAACCGGUACUAAUGAACCGUGAGGCUUAACCUU